This is a long non-coding RNA of Octopus sinensis (East Asian common octopus), 105 nucleotides long. RefSeq lists it as uncharacterized. Lineage: Eukaryota; Metazoa; Mollusca; Cephalopoda; Octopoda; Octopodidae. The record is from RefSeq and is a predicted model, not a curated record. The transcript has 3 exons.
AUAUAUAUGUAUGUAUGUAUGUAUGCACACACACACACAUAUAUAUAAGUACAAUUAAAUGUUACAAACCUCAUUCAGGGAUAGCAAAUUCAUAUGAAAGUACUG